Molecule: ribosomal RNA, 506 nt
Filed under: uncultured bacterium
Lineage: Bacteria
Description: partial 16S ribosomal RNA
Rfam family: Bacterial small subunit ribosomal RNA
Source: RNAcentral
GAUGAACGCUAGCUACAGGCUUAACACAUGCAAGUCGAGGGGUAACAAGAGAAAAGCUUGCUUUUUUUGUUGACGACCGGCGCACGGGUGAGUAACGCGUAUCCAACCUGCCUAUAACUAGGGAAUAACCUUGCGAAAGUAAGACUAAUACCCUAUGAUUUCCUUUGAUGACAUCAGAUUAGGAAUAAAGAUUUAUCGGUUAUAGAUGGGGAUGCGUCUGAUUAGCUUGUUGGCGGGGUAACGGCCCACCAAGGCAACGAUCAGUAGGGGUUCUGAGAGGAAGGUCCCCCACAUUGGAACUGAGACACGGUCCAAACUCCUACGGGAGGCAGCAGUGAGGAAUAUUGGUCAAUGGGCGGAAGCCUGAACCAGCCAAGUAGCGUGCAGGAUGACGGCCCUAUGGGUUGUAAACUGCUUUUAUACAGGAAUAAAGUUAGCCACGUGUGGUUAUUUGUAGGUACUGUAUGAAUAAGGACCGGCUAAUUCCGUGCCAGCAGCCGCCGUAA